ACGGUGAAAGUGUUUGCUGUGAACCUCUGUCCAAAAACUAAUAUAGGCAACGUUAUUUGCAUAUAGCUUAGACCCCUAUGUCUAAGGAUCGUUCCAUAUUCACAUGGACUCCUCUCUCACUUGUCUUUUAUCUCAUCGACGUCAAAGCCUCAAAAUAAAGUGGCUUUUCAACAGCAAGAAAUUUCCACCCUUAGCAAGAGCGUAAGGAUUUCCAGUUCCUCCCUCGUGGCCACCUUCGGAUAUUUCCACCAUGGCGACCCAACGCGUCCUCCAAAAAGCCUUCUUCCUCAAACUCACUCUCAGGGCGACGAGGCUACGUGGAAACGGACAUGGGGAUUGACUGCGUUUCCUUUGACGAUGGAAAUACUCGCCCCGUCGGCAGUCCCGGGCCUCGAUUUCGCUAGAAAUCGAGAAGACGGGCGACGAGACAAAGUGCACUCUCGCUGCGAAGUCGAGGGCGAGAGGGAGCAUAAAAAGGUCGCCAUCUCGUCACCGAAGUCGGGGUAGGAACCGACGCUACCAUCAGAGAAGAACUCCUGGACACGCCCCGUAUUCCGAAGGCAUGGUGGCCGGCUGGCGGUUCCUGACGAUGAAUAUCUAUCGUCCAAUCGAGUGCGGAAGACUAGUACUCGUCAACGGCACGGUGGUAGGACGUGUUGAGCGCCGUCAUAUCAGAUUGAAGGCCUGCAAUUCAUGCAUCUGCGUCAGGAGCUCCGGGCCCAGCGCGGCCUCUCCCAA
This is a long non-coding RNA of Penaeus indicus, 738 nucleotides long. RefSeq lists it as uncharacterized. The transcript is spliced from 3 exons. NCBI's taxonomy places the organism in Eukaryota, Metazoa, Arthropoda, Malacostraca, Decapoda, Penaeidae. The record is from RefSeq and is a predicted model, not a curated record.